GCUAGGUAUCAUUUUUUUGUCUUCAAUCCCAGUGCUAGGUAUCAUUUUUCUGUCUUCAAUCCCAGUGCUAGGUAUCAUUUUUCUGUCUUCAAUCCCAGUGCUAGGUAUCAGUUUUCUGUCUUCAAUCCCAGUGCUAGGCACUCGUUUUUUUUCUGGUUUUUUUCUUCUGUUUUUGUUUUUUUUCUCUUCCCUAUGCCACAUGUGCUCCCUCUCCGGCCCCUAGAUCACCAGGCUGCUCAUUAUGGCGCACACCUGUCACCAUCGUUACACGCAUCAGACUCACCUGGACUCCAUCACUUCCCUGAUUACCUUCCCUAUAUAUGUCACUCCCUUUGGUUCCUUCCCCAGGCGUUAUUGUUUCUGUUUCAUGUCUGUGCGUUGUUCGUGUUUCUUGUUUUGUGUUAUGUUUCGUUUAGUUAUUUAAACACUCACUGUAUUGUGUGUGUAUUGUUUUUUUUGUGUCAGGUGGAAUGACGUUGGGUUUGGGAGUUGCUACAGGCUUUCAUGUCUCAGCCAGAUCACCAGGCCCCUUUGCCUCUGCCGGCUCAUCAGGCUCUCAAGCCUCAGCCGGAUCGCCAGGCUCCCCUGCCUCAGCCAGCUCGUCGGGCUUUCAUGCCUUCGUCGGUUCGCUAGGCUCCCCUGUGUCCACCGGCUCGUCAGGCUUCAACCGAUCUUUCAGGUUCCCGUGUCCCAGCCGGCGACAGGUUCCGAUGCAUCAGCAGGGGUGACCGGUCCACUCCUGAUCCCCGGGAUCGUCCCUUGGGUUGUCGGCCUGCGGCUGGAGCCUAACGCGCCGGCAAGGGGUACUGUCAGGUAUGCUCUCUCUCUGGCGCUCUAGGUCGCCAUGCUCCUGCGUCUCAGCCGGAUUGACAGGUUUCCCGCGCCUCUGCUCCUGAUCCCCGGGAUUGUCAUUUUGGUUGGCGUCCUGCAGCUGGAGCCGUGCGCCAGGGAGGGGAUACUCUAGGUCACCAGGCCGUCACCAUCGUUAUGUGCACCUGC
Long non-coding RNA from Oncorhynchus tshawytscha (Chinook salmon), 999 nucleotides. The record is from Ensembl. NCBI's taxonomy places the organism in Eukaryota, Metazoa, Chordata, Actinopteri, Salmoniformes, Salmonidae.